GAGAGAGAGAGAGAGAGAGCAACAAUUUCUAAAAGGAAAUGGAGGGAUAACUUUGCAAAUGCAUACCUAAUUCUAAAUAUCAUGAAUUAAAAAUAUUGGCCUCCCAUCCCAGAUGUAUCUAGCACCAUAAUCAUAAUAAAAAGUCUGUGGGAAUUAUCUUAUAUAUAUUUCCUGAUCAACAGAGUAUAUUAAAAAUUUAAAAUAAUAUUUUUGAAGCUCUAGAAGAACCCGGCCCAUACAUGAAUUCAACUAGAUAAGGCGUAACAUCUUCAUAUUAUUUUUUCUUUAAGAGGGAGCAGAAUGGAGAUGAACAAAGGAAAUUAUAGUUUCAACUUUGUUAGAAAUUGAAAUUGUCUACUGCUUAAAUGAAAUAAAAAUUAGAUAAUAAGUAUAACCACAUAGGAAUAUCUGGAAAGAAAAAAACAUAAGAGAAUAUAUGGAUUCUAGAUUCAAAUAAAGUUUAGUAUUGGUAACAAUCAUUAGGAAAUCAGGCAAUCAGUUGCAAUGUUCUUGUGCAUCACAUAAACACAUAUUCCUUGAGGCUCAUCCAUAUGUAGGUCUUUUAAGUGAAGCCCAUCAGCAUAAGCAUCACAUGCAUUUUAAGUUUUCGACAAUUAUUUGCAAUAAGCAUUUAUGCACUUUAAGGAUAAAAACAAAUAGCAAAAAAUCAUCAACGAAGCAACCUCUUGAAUUUCACAGGCCAAAACCCAUUCCAAGGUAAUGAGUACGUCAUUUACCCAAACCCAGUAAUAAGAUCCAAUAUUCAAGCAGAUUAAUAUUUGAUCAACCACUUAAUUUAAACUCAUGUAAGCCAUUGGGUCCAACAAAGAAGUAGGACAGGAAGAGCCAGAACACCCUUAAUAAUUUGUGAUAAAAAUUUUCAAAAUCAAAUUCUGUUUUUUCCUUUAUGUGCUCAACCUAAUACAAACAACACUAAGUAUUCUUAAAGUUGACACUUGACAAUUAGAAAUCGUCCAAUGAGGCUUGUUAAUCACUAAUAUUAGAUACAACUAGCUAGAAUGGACAAAAUCUAUAAAAAGAAACCAACAAAAAUAAGCAGCACCAUCUCUUACCAAGGUUUUAGGCAUGGAAGGA
RNAcentral lists this unclassified non-coding RNA (1095 nucleotides) under Hevea brasiliensis (rubber tree). The record is from RNAcentral. Lineage: Eukaryota; Viridiplantae; Streptophyta; Magnoliopsida; Malpighiales; Euphorbiaceae.